Cyprinus carpio (common carp) is the source of this 772-nucleotide non-coding RNA. The record is from the annotation of a RefSeq genome assembly. NCBI's taxonomy places the organism in Eukaryota, Metazoa, Chordata, Actinopteri, Cypriniformes, Cyprinidae.
CCACACAACUUUCUGAAUAAUAUACAGUACAGUAGAUAUUUUUAGUUGAUACUACAGAAGUAAGUCAGCCUCAGUGCACAGCAUGAUGGAUAAUUAACACAGAAAUCAAAAUGCUGAUCUAUUCAUUACGUUUUCUUGUUUUUGCUUCAUUUAUCCUACCACUGCAAGAACGUUGUAUUUAAAUGUGGUGCUGUUUAUUUUCUUUCAAUUAAAAAAAAGUGAAUUAGAUUUGAGAACAAGGAAGUCUCCUGCACAGAGCAGGGAGUCGUUCUUAGGGUGGGACUACAAAAGAAAUACAGAAGGCACUUAAGUGAGGACUGCUUUUGCUCUUCCUGUGUCUCAGUAUAACAAUGCUGUUCUUUUACUUUACAGUCAUGGCACUUCUUACAGAUACUGUUCUUGCAAAUGCAAUAACAUCCCGCUCUACUAAACAGCAUGUUUUAGAAGGAGGAAACAUUACUAUUUCUUGCAACUACAGUGGAAGCAAUAUUAACAGUCUUCAGUGGUACAGACAGUCUUCCAACACUGCACCUGAAUUUAUCUUGCAAGCUUUUGAAAGUGCGGGAGCACAGCAGAAGGAUCGUUAUGUUGCUAAAGUUCAAAUGAAUGAAAAACAACUACAUCUGGAGAUCUCCAAAACUGAGAUGGCAGACGCUGCAAUAUACUACUGUGCCCUGGUGCCCACAGUAACAGGAAACCCUUCAACACUGUACAAAAACCUGAGAUAUGACUCUCACAUUUGACUACAGUGCACUCUGAUCCUGGUGCUAGA